This 1659-nucleotide ribosomal RNA is filed under the name Shigella flexneri. RNAcentral describes it as "partial 23S ribosomal RNA". It matches the Rfam family "Bacterial large subunit ribosomal RNA", at positions 1298 to 2925 of the family's 2925-position model. The record is from RNAcentral. Lineage: Bacteria; Pseudomonadati; Pseudomonadota; Gammaproteobacteria; Enterobacterales; Enterobacteriaceae.
UGACAUAAGUAACGAUAAAGCGGGUGAAAAGCCCGCUCGCCGGAAGACCAAGGGUUCCUGUCCAACGUUAAUCGGGGCAGGGUGAGUCGACCCCUAAGGCGAGGCCGAAAGGCGUAGUCGAUGGGAAACAGGUUAAUAUUCCUGUACUUGGUGUUACUGCGAAGGGGGGACGGAGAAGGCUAUGUUGGCCGGGCGACGGUUGUCCCGGUUUAAGCGUGUAGGCUGGUUUUCCAGGCAAAUCCGGAAAAUCAAGGCCGAGGCGUGAUGACGAGGCACUACGGUGCUGAAGCAACAAAUGCCCUGCUUCCAGGAAAAGCCUCUAAGCAUCAGGUAACAUCAAAUCGUACCCCAAACCGACACAGGUGGUCAGGUAGAGAAUACCAAGGCGCUUGAGAGAACUCGGGUGAAGGAACUAGGCAAAAUGGUGCCGUAACUUCGGGAGAAGGCACGCUGAUACGUAGGUGAAGCGACUUGCUCGUGGAGCUGAAAUCAGUCGAAGAUACCAGCUGGCUGCAACUGUUUAUUAAAAACACAGCACUGUGCAAACACGAAAGUGGACGUAUACGGUGUGACGCCUGCCCGGUGCCGGAAGGUUAAUUGAUGGGGUUAGCGCAAGCGAAGCUCUUGAUCGAAGCCCCGGUAAACGGCGGCCGUAACUAUAACGGUCCUAAGGUAGCGAAAUUCCUUGUCGGGUAAGUUCCGACCUGCACGAAUGGCGUAAUGAUGGCCAGGCUGUCUCCACCCGAGACUCAGUGAAAUUGAACUCGCUGUGAAGAUGCAGUGUACCCGCGGCAAGACGGAAAGACCCCGUGAACCUUUACUAUAGCUUGACACUGAACAUUGAGCCUUGAUGUGUAGGAUAGGUGGGAGGCUUUGAAGUGUGGACGCCAGUCUGCAUGGAGCCGACCUUGAAAUACCACCCUUUAAUGUUUGAUGUUCUAACGUGGACCCGUGAUCCGGGUUGCGGACAGUGUCUGGUGGGUAGUUUGACUGGGGCGGUCUCCUCCUAAAGAGUAACGGAGGAGCACGAAGGUUGGCUAAUCCUGGUCGGACAUCAGGAGGUUAGUGCAAUGGCAUAAGCCAGCUUGACUGCGAGCGUGACGGCGCGAGCAGGUGCGAAAGCAGGUCAUAGUGAUCCGGUGGUUCUGAAUGGAAGGGCCAUCGCUCAACGGAUAAAAGGUACUCCGGGGAUAACAGGCUGAUACCGCCCAAGAGUUCAUAUCGACGGCGGUGUUUGGCACCUCGAUGUCGGCUCAUCACAUCCUGGGGCUGAAGUAGGUCCCAAGGGUAUGGCUGUUCGCCAUUUAAAGUGGUACGCGAGCUGGGUUUAGAACGUCGUGAGACAGUUCGGUCCCUAUCUGCCGUGGGCGCUGGAGAACUGAGGGGGGCUGCUCCUAGUACGAGAGGACCGGAGUGGACGCAUCACUGGUGUUCGGGUUGUCAUGCCAAUGGCACUGCCCGGUAGCUAAAUGCGGAAGAGAUAAGUGCUGAAAGCAUCUAAGCACGAAACUUGCCCCGAGAUGAGUUCUCCCUGACCCUUUAAGGGUCCUGAAGGAACGUUGAAGACGACGACGUUGAUAGGCCGGGUGUGUAAGCGCAGCGAUGCGUUGAGCUAACCGGUACUAAUGAACCGUGAGGCUUAACCUUACAACGCCGAAG